RNAcentral lists this unclassified non-coding RNA (486 nucleotides) under uncultured fungus. RNAcentral describes it as "partial contains small subunit ribosomal RNA, internal transcribed spacer 1, and 5.8S ribosomal RNA". The stretch from base 1 to 73 matches the Rfam family "Eukaryotic small subunit ribosomal RNA", at positions 1759 to 1831 of the family's 1831-position model. The record is from RNAcentral. Lineage: Eukaryota; Fungi.
UCAAACUUGGUCAUUUAGAGGAAGUAAAAGUCGUAACAAGGUAACCGUAGGUGAACCUGCGGUUGGAUCAUUAGCAAACACGAGAGAAGGAGGAGGGGAAAACGGGGGGAUGGGUUGGUCGAUGUGUGCGGCCAAUCUGAAAAGGAGGGGCGAUAGCUGUGCUCCUUAGCGUCUCUGGCGGCGGCCAAGGCGACAGCCUGGCGGCCGCCAAGAUAAUUGGGAGCGUUGCGAAUCCCCGCUGCAUUGGGCUGCUGAACCCUUCAUUUUUCUUUUGGGGGGUUGUGAUGCGCGUCGAUUUUCUUGCUCGCGGGAGGGCAUGUUUUUUUUUUGCACCCCGUUUCUUGGUUUUCUUUUAACAAAGAAAGAAAAACAAAGAGAGAGCACACCACAAAAAAAGAAACGCCUGAACAGAGAAAAUAAACGAAACAGAAAAAAACAACUUUUGACGACGGAUCUCUAGGCUCUCGCAUCGAUGAAGAACGCAGC